This 301-nucleotide ribosomal RNA is filed under the name uncultured bacterium. RNAcentral describes it as "partial 16S ribosomal RNA". It matches the Rfam family "Bacterial small subunit ribosomal RNA", at positions 509 to 809 of the family's 1533-position model. The record is from RNAcentral.
CAGCAGCCGCGGUAAUACAGAGGGUGCGAGCGUUAAUCGGAUUUACUGGGCGUAAAGCGUGCGUAGGCGGCUUCUUAAGUCGGAUGUGAAAUCCCUGAGCUUAACUUAGGAAUUGCAUUCGAUACUGGGAAGCUAGAGUAUGGGAGAGGAUGGUAGAAUUCCAGGUGUAGCGGUGAAAUGCGUAGAGAUCUGGAGGAAUACCGAUGGCGAAGGCAGCCAUCUGGCCUAAUACUGACGCUGAGGUACGAAAGCAUGGGGAGCAAACAGGAUUAGAUACCCGUGUAGUCUGUCUCUUAUACAC